AUUGAACGCUGGCGGCAGGCCUAACACAUGCAAGUCGAGCGGUAGCACAGAGAGCUUGCUCUCGGGUGACGAGCGGCGGACGGGUGAGUAAUGUCUGGGAAACUGCCUGAUGGAGGGGGAUAACUACUGGAAACGGUAGCUAAUACCGCAUAACGUCGCAAGACCAAAGUGGGGGACCCUCGGGCCUCAUGCCAUCAGAUGUGCCCAGAUGGGAUUAGCUAGUAGGUGGGGUAACGGCUCACCUAGGCGACGAUCCCUAGCUGGUCUGAGAGGAUUACCAGCCACACUGGAACUGAGACACGGUCCAGACUCCUACGGGAGGCAGCAGUGGGGAAUAUUGCACAAUGGGCGCAAGCCUGAUGCAGCCAUGCCGCGUGUGUGAAGAAGGCCUUCGGGUUGUAAAGCACUUUCAGCGGGGAGGAAGGCGAUAAGGUUAAUAACCUUGUCGAUUGACGUUACCCGCAGAAGAAGCACCGGCUAACUCCGUGCCAGCCGCCGCAGUAA
RNAcentral lists this ribosomal RNA (504 nucleotides) under uncultured bacterium. RNAcentral's name for it is "partial 16S ribosomal RNA". It matches the Rfam family "Bacterial small subunit ribosomal RNA", at positions 30 to 523 of the family's 1533-position model. The record is from RNAcentral.